GACAAACGAUAGAAUGAAUAGAAAAAAAGAAAAGAAAAACAUCUAUCGGCAAGUCCCGUCCAGCUAUUCGAUAGUUUUCACGCCGCCACUCGCGUUACAGCUUGGAUGCUUCGAAAAAACUUGAUAUUUCAAUACCAUCCGGCCUCCUAGGGGUUCGCGGACCCCAGGUUGAUAAUCGCUGGUCUAGCAUAUUAUGCAGUUCAGAGAUUACUAUUACAAACCACUUCCCGUUUCUCGUUGAUGUUCCUCUAUAUUUGUGGUUUAGAGAUGGACCAGGACCAGAGUACUAUUCUUAUUGCGCUGCCGUCAAUCUCCAGCAAACCAUCCAACAAGCGGUAAACACACAGAAAUGUGCGUGUGUGCGUCUUGAAAGAACCUGACUGAAAACACCAUACAUUCGAGCCUAAUAGAAACAUUGAUAGGAGUGUGAGACGAAUGGCACUGCGAGCGCUGCUGCUGGUAGUGUUGUAGAAAGCAGCAUACACGCGGGUGAGUUGCACAAUAUGCUUGUAUGAUAUGAUAAUGUUGAAAUUAGUUGCACAUCAGCAUAGAAACAAGUGGACGAGAGCGACUUGUCCGCCACAUUAAUCCCUGUGUGUGGUGCCGGCUACCGCCUUGCAGUGUUGUGGAACAGACCAUAAUCAUAGACAGGCUUCACAUGUUCAACGGGCAUUUUGGCGGGAAACUAGUCAAAUCGAAAGUGAUUCGUUGUCCAUCGACAAAACGGUACAUAAAAGACUGCGGAAAUGGAAUCAAAAUGAUAAUGCUCGAUUGCGGGAUUAUUACAAUAAGACAUUGGAUUAAAAAAAAUUAAAAGAUCAUGAACUUUUGUUUAACCCAUUCAUGCCCGUGUUUUUAUAAUAGUCCAUGCAAGUUACCCUUACACAAACUAGUAGUAUUUCCUACCCGUCUGUGAUUUUUUAUUUGAG
Molecule: long non-coding RNA, 929 nt
Organism: Topomyia yanbarensis
Lineage: Eukaryota; Metazoa; Arthropoda; Insecta; Diptera; Culicidae
Exons: 3
Source: RefSeq, a predicted model, not a curated record